Molecule: non-coding RNA, 96 nt
Organism: Marasmius tenuissimus
Lineage: Eukaryota; Fungi; Basidiomycota; Agaricomycetes; Agaricales; Marasmiaceae
Source: the annotation of a GenBank genome assembly
UCCGUUAUGGUGUAGUGGCUAACAUUAUCGCCUCUCACGAUUGACGACCUCAAUCUUGUAUCGCGAUAGCCCAGGGUUCGAUUCCCUGUAACGGAA